GCUGCCGUAGCUCAAUUGGUAAGAGCAUCGGACGUGUAAUCUGAAGGUUGCAGGUUCGGACCCUGCUGGUGGCA
Non-coding RNA from Rhipicephalus sanguineus (brown dog tick), 74 nucleotides. The record is from the annotation of a RefSeq genome assembly. Lineage: Eukaryota; Metazoa; Arthropoda; Arachnida; Ixodida; Ixodidae.